UUGCAGCUAGUUAAGCCAACUGGCCCACCUCCUUGAUGGUAUCUUUGUGUGCAGUGGUUGCAAAAAGCAGGCUCCCUGGUUGUGUACACGGCUCAUUCCUUGUAUGUGUUGCUCUAAGGGACCUUGGCGACAUUG
RNAcentral lists this small nucleolar RNA (135 nucleotides) under Procavia capensis (Cape rock hyrax). Its description in RNAcentral is "Small nucleolar RNA SNORA70 (ENSPCAG00000019084.1)". It matches the Rfam family "Small nucleolar RNA SNORA70". From Rfam's summary of the family: snoRNA U70 seems to be exclusive to mammals and is a member of the H/ACA class of snoRNA which contain H (ANANNA) and ACA box motifs. H/ACA box snoRNAs are involved in the conversion of uridines to pseudouridines (5-ribosyluracil) a constituent of structural RNAs (transfer, ribosomal, small nuclear, and small nucleolar). Lineage: Eukaryota; Metazoa; Chordata; Mammalia; Hyracoidea; Procaviidae. The record is from RNAcentral.